GACGAACGCUGGCGGCGUGCUUAACACAUGCAAGUCGAACGGAAAGGCCUGCUUUCCCUUGUGGAUUGCGGGUACUCGAGUGGCGAACGGGUGAGUAACACGUGAGUGAUCUGCCCCCAACUUGGGUAUAAGCCUGGGAAACUGGGUCUAAUUCCCGAUAGGACUGCAGGGUGGUGCCUGUGGUGGAAAACGAUUUUCUAGUGGUUGGGGAUGAGCUCGCGGCCUAUCAGCUUGUUGGUGGGGUAAUGGCCUACCAAGGCGGCGACGGGUAGCCGGCCUGAGAGGGUGGACGGCCACAGUGGGACUGAGAUACGGCCCAGACUCCUACGGGAGGCAGCAGUGGGGAAUAUUGCACAAUGGGCGGAAGCCUGAUGCAGCGACGCCGCGUGGGGGAUGACGGCCUUCGGGUUGUAAACCCCUUUCGACCGCGAGGAAGCCACCUGGUUGGAAGGGUGGUGACGGUAGUGGUAGAAGAAGCACCGGCUAACUACGUG
RNAcentral lists this ribosomal RNA (494 nucleotides) under uncultured bacterium. Its description in RNAcentral is "partial 16S ribosomal RNA". It matches the Rfam family "Bacterial small subunit ribosomal RNA", at positions 28 to 507 of the family's 1533-position model. The record is from RNAcentral.